This 74-nucleotide transfer RNA is filed under the name Algoriphagus sp. 4150. RNAcentral's name for it is "tRNA-Cys". It matches the Rfam family "tRNA". Rfam says of the family: Transfer RNA (tRNA) molecules are approximately 80 nucleotides in length. Their secondary structure includes four short double-helical elements and three loops (D, anti-codon, and T loops). Further hydrogen bonds mediate the characteristic L-shaped molecular structure. tRNAs have two regions of fundamental functional importance: the anti-codon, which is responsible for specific mRNA codon recognition, and the 3' end, to which the tRNAs corresponding amino acid is attached (by aminoacyl-tRNA synthetases). tRNAs cope with the degeneracy of the genetic code in two manners: having more than one tRNA (with a specific anti-codon) for a particular amino acid; and 'wobble' base-pairing, i.e. permitting non-standard base-pairing at the 3rd anti-codon position. The record is from RNAcentral. Lineage: Bacteria; Pseudomonadati; Bacteroidota; Cytophagia; Cytophagales; Cyclobacteriaceae.
GGGAGUUUAGCUCAGUUGGUUCAGAGCAUUCCGAUGCAAUCGGAAGAGUCGGGUUUCGAACCUCUCAACUUUCA